RNAcentral lists this ribosomal RNA (200 nucleotides) under uncultured bacterium. RNAcentral describes it as "partial 16S ribosomal RNA". It matches the Rfam family "Bacterial small subunit ribosomal RNA", at positions 326 to 539 of the family's 1533-position model. The record is from RNAcentral.
ACGCUCGACACCUACGGGAUGCAGCAGUGGGGAAUAUUGGGCAAUGGGCGCAAGCCUGACCCAGCAACGCCGCGUGAAGGAAGAAGGCUUUCGGGUUGUAAACUUCUUUUGUCAGGGAACAGUAGAAGAGGGUACCUGACGAAUAAGCCACGGCUAACUACGUGUCAGCAGCCGCGGUAAUCUGAGCGGGCUGGCAAGGC